This is a long non-coding RNA of Macaca fascicularis (crab-eating macaque), 2586 nucleotides long. The record is from Ensembl. NCBI's taxonomy places the organism in Eukaryota, Metazoa, Chordata, Mammalia, Primates, Cercopithecidae.
AUUGGGGCUUCAUUGCAGUUUUAGUUUAGUUUGAUUCAGUUUACCUCUAGCUUCAAAUAUUUUGAAUGAAGGUAGAAUCAGAACUCUCAUAUCACCAGGGUCUGAGUUUUGGGCAUUGGCAAGAUUCCAGAGAUCUUACUUUGCUUCAUAGCUAAGCCACCAGCUUUUAUUAACGUGGGGGAUCUUUCCCUGCUUUACAACCUUGCUGCCAGGACUUUUUUUUUUAUCAAUGAGCUGGGGACAGGAGGAUAUUUUUCUCAGCUCUCAUGCGUGCCCUGCCCUUUUGUAGAGGAAUGUCCACAAUGCCUAGGGAUGGGUUUCUUAGCAUUUGUGACCCCACUUAGCCUCCAAGAGUACCUCUGUUGGAUUUCACAACAAUCCUGCCUCCCCUUUCAUCUUUAAAGGGUAUUUUGCCCUUGGGAGAAGUCAAGCUCUCUCAGCUUUCCUUCUGUUAUCUGCAACUUCAGUGUACUACACACUCCUGUACCUGGUUAUCAUCUAAGGGGUAAGAUUGGUGGGAAGCCUUCCUCUGUGGAUUUGGGUCCUCUAGGUUCUAAUGUCAAACCAGCCUCCAAGGGGUUGUGAAAAUUUUGUUAAAUUCCAAGAGGUUUCUUUUCUCCCCCUGUAGUAUUCCUCUUCCUACCGUAGUUGAACUAGGAAGAACAACAGCUAGGGGGUCUGUUCUCUCCUAUGAAGGAGUUGGCACUUUCUGGAGUUUGGAUCAUUUAGGUUUCUUUGGUUUUUGUUUUUGUUUUGAGACAGGGUCUCACUCUUACCCAGCUUGGAGUACAGCCUGUAGUGAUCUCAGCUCACUACAACCUCUGCCUGCCUGGCUCAAUGGAUCCUCCCACCUCAGCCUCCUGAGCAGCUGGGACUACAGGCGUGUACCACCACACUCGGCUAAUUUUUGCAUUUUUUGUCGAGACAGGGUUUUGCCAUGUUGCCCAGGCUGAUCGCCAACCUCUGAGCUUAAGCGAUCUGCCUGCCUCAGUGCCCCAAAGUCCUGGGGUUACAGGCAUAAACCACUGUACCCAACCUAGAUUUCUUUGUGUCCUUAGCUUUCUGAUGAGUUAAACAUAUUUUUUAUUUUCUAGCUAAUCUGGCCUUUUGUUGUUGUUUGCUAGAGUGGGAGGUAUAUUCCCUUGUGACUUUCUUCAUAUCAGUAGUGGAUUUCAGAAAGUUAAUUUUUUUAAUAAAAAAAAUUUUUUAGGUCAGGCGCAGUGUCUCACGCCUGUAAUCCCAGCACUUUGGGGGGCCAAGGCAGGUGGAUCACCUGAGAUCAGGAAUUUGAGACCAGCCUGGCCAACAUAGUGAAACCCCAACUCUAUUAAAAAUACUAAAAUUAUCUGGGUGUGGUGGUGGGUGCCUGUAAUCCCAGCUACUUGGGAGGCUGAGUCAGGAGAAUCGCUUGAACCUGGGAGGCGGAGGAUGCAGUGAGCUGAGAUUGUGCCACUGCACUCCAACCUGGGUGACAGAGCAAGACUCCUUCUCAAAAAAAAAAUUUUUUUUGAAACAGAUCUCACUCCACCCUGGCUGGAGUGCCAUGACACGAUCAUAGGUCACUGCUGGCUUGACCUUCUGGGCUCAAGUGAUCCUCCUGCCUCAGCCUCUUGAAUAAGUUGGGACCACAGGCAUGUGCCACCAUGCCUGGCUAAUUUUUUGGUUUUUUUUUAUUGGUAGGGUUGAGGUCUCGCUAUGUUGCCUGUGAUCCUCCUGCCUUGGUUUUCCAAAGUGCUGGGAUUAAAGGCAUGAGCCACCACACCCGGUUAGGAAUGGGAGUUUAAACAAUGGUUUUAUUUGCACAUUUCAUUAGCUAGUAUUUUUUUCCUUUUUUGAGACAGAGUCUGGCCCUGUUGCCCAGGCUGGAGUACAAUGGCACAAUCUAGGCUCAUUGUAACCUCUGCCUCUUGGCUUCAAGUGAUUCUCAUGCCUCAGCCUCCCGAGUAGCUGGGAUUACAGGCACCCACCACCACACCCAGCUAAUUUUUGUAUUUUUAGUAGAGACAGCGUUUCACCAUGUUGGCCAGGCUGGUCUCAAACUCCUGACCUCAGUUGAUCCAGCCACCUCAGCCUCCCAAAGUGCUGGGAUUACAGGUGUGACCCAUCACGCCUGGCCUCAUUAACAGUUUUUAAAAUUAAAAGUACCUAUAACUUUUGUAGAAUCAUAAAGAAAAGCAACACCUUCCCAUCUUAACUCCCCUAGUGCCUCUACUCCCUCCACAGAGACAAAUAUGUUAGCAGUUUGUUGUGUUUUCUUUUCCAAAUUGUAUUUCUAAAAUGUGUCAAUAUCUUUUCCCUUAUUUUUUUAUUUUUUUGUAGAGACAGGGGGUUCUCACUGUGUUGCCUAGACUGGUCUCAAACUCCUGGCCUCCUACCUUGGCUUCCCACGGUUCUGGCAUGAUCUACUGCACCUGGUGUCCUCCUUGUUAUUCUUUAAAACCUGAAUGGAAGCAUACUAUAUUUUCUACACUCCUUUCAUGUAACUAUUUUAACAACCUGAGGACUUUUAGAGGCUGCAUAGUAUGUCUUAGUAUAGAUGUAUCUUAGUUUAUUUAAACAGUUACUGGUGAUGGACAUUCCCAUAUU